RNAcentral lists this ribosomal RNA (952 nucleotides) under uncultured organism. Its description in RNAcentral is "bacterial SSU rRNA". It matches the Rfam family "Bacterial small subunit ribosomal RNA", at positions 470 to 1438 of the family's 1533-position model. The record is from RNAcentral.
UGACGGUACCCUUUCGAAUAAGAGGUUGCUAACUCUGUGCCAGCAGCAGCGGUAAUACAGAGACCUCGAGCGUUAUCCGGAUUUACUGGGCGUAAAGCGUCUGUAGGGGGUUUGUUAAGUUCCAAGUAAAAUCUUAAGGCUCAACUUUAAGUUCGCUUGGAAAACUAAUAAACUGGAGUCCAGCAGAGGUGCAUGGAACUUGCGGUGUAGGAGUGAAAUCCGUUGAUAUCGCAAGGAACACCAAAGGCGAAGGCAUUGCACUGGGCUGGUACUGACCCUGAGAGACGAAAGCGUGGGGAGCAAAACGGAUUAGAUACCCGUGUAGUCCACGCCGUAAACGAUGGAUACUAGAUGUUCGGGGAUUCGACCCCCUGGGUGUCACAGCUAACGCGUUAAGUAUCCCGCCUGGGAAGUACGGCCGCAAGGCUAAAACUCAAAGGAAUAGACGGGGAUCCGCACAAGCGGUGGAGCGUCUGGUUUAAUUUGAUAGUAAGCAAUGGACCUCACCAAGGUUUGACAUCCUAUGACAACCCUGGAAACAGGGCUUCCUUCGGGCAUAGUGACAGGUGCUGCAUGGUCGUCGUCAGUUCGUGCCGUGAGGUGUUCCGUUAAGUCGGGAAACGAACGAAACCCUCGUCGCAUGUUACAAAUUUCAUGCGAGACUGCUCGGGUCAACCGGGAGGAAGGCGGGGAUGACGUCAGAUCAGCAUGGCCCUUAUACCUUGGGCUACACAGGCGCUACAAUGGCCGGUACAAAGGGUUGCAAAACCGCGAGGUGAAGCUAAUCCCAUAAAGCCGGUCCAAGUUCGGAUUGGAGGCUGCAACUCGCCUCCAUGAAGUUGGAAUCGCUAGUAAUCGUGGAUCAGCCAUACCACGGUGAAUACGUUCCCGGAUCUUGUACUCACCGCCCGUCACACCAAGAGAGUUGGUAGCUCCUGAAGCGUCGCAUUAG